RNAcentral lists this ribosomal RNA (460 nucleotides) under uncultured bacterium. RNAcentral's name for it is "partial 16S ribosomal RNA". It matches the Rfam family "Bacterial small subunit ribosomal RNA", at positions 338 to 795 of the family's 1533-position model. The record is from RNAcentral.
CCUACGGGAGGCAGCAGUGAGGAAUAUUGGUCAAUGGGCGGGAGCCUGAACCAGCCAAGCCGCGUGAGGGAAGAAGGUCCUGCGUAUUGUAAACCUCUUUUAUCGGGGAAUAAAGGGCGGCACGUGUCCUGUUUUGUAUGUACCUUAUGAAUAAGGAUCGGCUAACUCCGUGCCAGCAGCCGCGGUAAUACGGAGGAUCCGAGCGUUAUCCGGAUUUAUUGGGUUUAAAGGGUGCGUAGGCGGCCUUUUAAGUCAGCGGUGAAAGUCUGUGGCUCAACCCUAGAAUUGCCGUUGAAACUGGAGGGCUUGAGUGUGUGAGAGGCAGGCGGAAUGCGUGGUGUAGCGGUGAAAUGCAUAGAUAUCACGCAGAACCCCGAUUGCGAAGGCAGCCUGCCGGGCCGUAACUGACGCUGAUGCACGAAAGCGUGGGGAUCGAACAGGAUUAGAUACCCUAGUAGUC